GAUGAACGCUGGCGGCGUGCUUAACACAUGCAAGUCGAACGAUGAAGCCCAGCUUGCUGGGUGGAUUAGUGGCGAACGGGUGAGUAACACGUGAGUAACCUGCCCUUGACUCUGGGAUAAGCCUGGGAAACUGGGUCUAAUACUGGAUAUGACUUCUCAUCGCAUGGUGGGGGGUGGAAAGAUUUAUUGGUCUUGGAUGGACUCGCGGCCUAUCAGCUUGUUGGUGAGGUAAUGGCUCGCCAAGGCGACGACGGGUAGCCGGCCUGAGAGGGUGACCGGCCACACUGGGACUGAGACACGGCCCAGACUCCUACGGGAGGCAGCAGUGGGGAAUAUUGCACAAUGGGCGCAAGCCUGAUGCAGCGACGCCGCGUGAGGGAUGACGGCCUUCGGGUUGUAAACCUCUUUCAGUAGGGAAGAAGCGAGAGUGACGGUACCUGCAGAAGAAGCGCCGGCUAACUACGUG
This 466-nucleotide ribosomal RNA is filed under the name uncultured bacterium. RNAcentral's name for it is "partial 16S ribosomal RNA". It matches the Rfam family "Bacterial small subunit ribosomal RNA", at positions 28 to 507 of the family's 1533-position model. The record is from RNAcentral.